Halobacterium hubeiense is the source of this 53-nucleotide regulatory RNA element. It matches the Rfam family "leuA-Halobacteria RNA". The record is from Rfam. NCBI's taxonomy places the organism in Archaea, Methanobacteriati, Methanobacteriota, Halobacteria, Halobacteriales, Halobacteriaceae.
CGGCACGGAGGAUAGAGUAAGUCGCCUCACGGCGGCUGGCCGAGAAAUUCUCC